Molecule: ribosomal RNA, 310 nt
Filed under: uncultured bacterium
Lineage: Bacteria
Description: partial 16S ribosomal RNA
Rfam family: Bacterial small subunit ribosomal RNA
Source: RNAcentral
UGGGGAAUAUUGCACAAUGGGCGCAAGCCUGAUGCAGCCAUGCCGCGUGUGUGAAGAAGGCCUUCGGGUUGUAAAGCACUUUCAGCGAGGAGGAAGGCAUUAAGGUUAAUAACCUUAGUGAUUGACGUUACUCGCAGAAGAAGCACCGGCUAACUCCGUGCCAGCAGCCGCGGUAAUACGGAGGGUGCAAGCGUUAAUCGGAAUUACUGGGCGUAAAGCGCACGCAGGCGGUUUGUUAAGUCAGAUGUGAAAUCCCCGAGCUUAACUUGGGAGCUGCAUUUGAAACUGGCAAGCUAGAGUCUUGUAGAGG